AUGCCUCGCGCGCCUCCUCCUCCCGCUCCAGCGCCGCCGCUACCCUCGGCCGCCUCCCUCUAUACAGUGGUGUCGCCUCUCCUCCCCUAUACGUGCGCCGCCGCCCCUCCGCCCCCUCCUACCUGUCGUCGUCUCGCCGCUGCAGCCGUCCCCAAGUUGAGAAAGCUAUCAAGGCUAGGGUUCACCGGAAAGGAAGAAAAAAUUCCCCAUUCCCUCCGGCAUCUCUUACGCCCCGCUGCCGGCCUACUCUUCCUCUCAGAAGUGUCGUCUUCAUCCUCGACGCAGAAGGAUAGCACGGACUGCAGAGAUGCCCUGCCGCCGUGCUCCUUUUCGCCGAUCCCCUUCCACCAGAUUCGAUGA
RNAcentral lists this ribosomal RNA (360 nucleotides) under Triticum aestivum (bread wheat). Its description in RNAcentral is "partial small subunit ribosomal RNA". The record is from RNAcentral. Lineage: Eukaryota; Viridiplantae; Streptophyta; Magnoliopsida; Poales; Poaceae.